RNAcentral lists this long non-coding RNA (361 nucleotides) under Triticum aestivum (bread wheat). Its description in RNAcentral is "long non-coding RNA (TAES_LNC020285)". Lineage: Eukaryota; Viridiplantae; Streptophyta; Magnoliopsida; Poales; Poaceae. The record is from RNAcentral.
GCCACCAUAUAUGCUAGUGCUUGCUGCAGCUCCACCUCACUACCUUUUCCUACCCAUAAGCUUAAAUAGUCCUGAUCGCGAGGGUGUGAGAUUGCUGAGUCCCCUCGACUCACAGAUUACUUCCAAAACCAGUUGCAGGUGCCGAUGAUACCGUGCAGGUGACGCAACCGAGCUCAAUGAGGAGCUCGAAGAAGAUCGUGUUCGUUGUGUUGAUUCGUUUUCCAGUUGAUCAGUAGUGGGGCCUAGUCGGGGUGAUCGGGGAUCUUUUGCAUUAGGGGUAGUCUUCUUUUAUUUUGGUUCCGUAGUCGGACCUUGAUUGUAUUCUAGAUGAUGUAAUGCUAUAUUUAUUUAUUGUGUGAAG